UGGGGAAUAUUGGACAAUGGGGGCAACCCUGAUCCAGCGACGCCGCGUGUGUGAAGAAGGCCUGCGGGUUGUAAAGCACUUUUAGUGGGGAUGAAAAGUUCAGGGCUAAUACCUCUGGAUCUUGACCUAACCCAAAGAAAAAGCACCGGCUAACUCUGUGCCAGCAGCCGCGGUAAUACAGAGGGUGCAAGCGUUAAUCGGAAUUACUGGGCGUAAAGCGUGCGUAGACGGUUAUGUAAGUCGGGUGUGAAAGCCCCGGGCUCAACCUGGGAAUUGCAUUCGAGACUGUGUAGCUAGGGUACGGAAGAGGGAAGCGGAAUUUCAGGUGUAGCGGUGAAAUGCGUAGAUAUCUGAAGGAACACCAGUGGCGAAAGCGGCUUCCUGGUCCAGUACCGACGUUCAGGCACGAAAGCGUGGGGAGCAAACA
Molecule: ribosomal RNA, 427 nt
Filed under: uncultured Acidibacter sp.
Lineage: Bacteria; Pseudomonadati; Pseudomonadota; Gammaproteobacteria
Description: bacterial SSU rRNA
Rfam family: Bacterial small subunit ribosomal RNA
Source: RNAcentral